AGCUAUUUGCAUAACAAAGGCGGGUUCUAUGCACCCACACAGCUAAGGUCAAGCAAAUGAUAUCAUUUCCUGGCUCGGUUCCUCUCUAUUUUAGCAUUCUGCGGUAAGACCAACAGAGCUUUAUUCAAAACCACGGUAUUUUAUCAACAGGAGCAUUUCGUUCUCAAAACAAGCUGCCGUUCGUACUGCUUAAACUUUAAUCAGUUUGAAAACAUGUCGAUGAGGGUCCUGUUGAUGCUUGUUUUAUUCAUGGUUGGGACAAGUGUCGCCGACUUUCUACCGACAAUACUAUGGAACCCAGAAAACCCAAUAUUCGAGAACCUUAGAAAUAAACCAAGAACAGUGCUUAUGAAGGACAAGUUAACAUUCCUUUGCCCAAAUCUUGGUGAUUAUGAGAUACAAACAAAUACACAACACUCCAAGGAUCAUCAGUAUGCAAGCAUUUACAUGGUGGAUGAAGCAGGGUAUAAUAACUGUAAUGCUACUGGGGCCAAAAAGAUACUGACUUGUAGCGACCCCAUGGCUCUCAAAUUCAAAACUGUGCUGAUACAAGAAAUUGCACCCACAAACAACAUACCAGAGUUUACAAAAGGAAAAACUUAUUACUUCAUUGAUACAUCUAGUGGAACUUCAAACACUAUAGACAGCCUAAAUGGGGGGCGAUGCGCCCAGAACAAGUUGAAGUUGAAGAUCUAUGUCUGUCUGAGUGAAUCAGAUCCAAACUGUCCUGCCACAAACAGAGUUUUGAAUGGAGGUUGGUCGGAUUGGGGAGAAUGUCAGAGCUCUGGAGUGAAGCAGCGUCAAUGCAAUAGUCCAUCUCCUGCCAAUGGGGGGACACCAUGCAUUGGGGAUACAACACGUCCUUGUAGCUUGCUUUUUACUACCACACAGCACCCUUCUAAAGAAAACAGCACAUCUAUUCCCAAGAAAGAGAAGCGGUCAUCCUCUCCAAGUCAACUAAAUCAGCUUUCUGUUGGUACUCUGGCUGGAAUAUUUACAGCAAUAUUUAUUACUGGACUUGUUGUAGGAGGUGUUAUAAGUGCAUUUGCUGUCCAUAGAUGGAAUAAAAUCAAUAGACGAAAAGAUGAUCCUCGAAUUCCAGAUCCUAUUUAGCCUUGUGAAUGUGCCUCUAGUCUAUCCUUCAAGUCCUUCUUGUGACACCUUACUCUCUUUUGCUUCCAGCUAAAAAUGCCUACAACAGGAACAGUGUAUUAUCAACUGCCACUUUACGACCGAUGUCAACAGGAUCUUUGCUGUACUGAUAGUCAUGUCGAUGAGGAGGGCAUGAACAUUAUCACCUGUAGAGAUUUUCUAUAAGAUGCACAAGAAAAUUUCUGGUCACAGCACAAGAAUAGAGGUUGUGUGGACAUUAUCAUCUAUAGAGAUAUUCUACAGUAUAGGGUCUAGCCAAUGGCAAAAGAAUAGAGGUUGUGUGGCCAUUAUCACCUAUUGAGAUAUUCUAAAGGAUACAAAAUACAAUAUAUAUAUAUACGGCACAUGCUCAACAAAAAAUAAUGGCUGAUACCUACAGUAAAGUAGACCAUCCUUGAGGCUCUUAAAAAGCUGCAAGUUGUGAUAAAGAUAUACAGUACAGUAGAGGAUUUGUGAUAAUGUCAUAGCCAGGAUUUUGAGCAGGGGAGGUGGGGGCUCAUUUACCCAUAAAGCAGACCAUUUUCUCUUAGUUACAUAGCUCAUCCUACCUGGACAAACUAUGGGGGUUUCUUUCAAAUCCCCUUGCUACAGGACUGUGAUACCAUUUGGAACAACUAAGACUGAUAUUUAUUGUGGCAUACAAUUUUUUUAACAUAACAUUGUUUAAAUCAUGCUAAAAGUUUUAUUGCUUGCACAUUAAAUUUCAUCCUUUUUAUAACCAUGUUUUUUUAAAAGAUUUAAUAGAAAAUACAAAAAUUUAAAGCAAAAUAGUAUUGUAUUAGUGUGUAAUACAUCACCAACCCUAAGUUCCCAAUAACAUUUGCUUCUUCAAGUUUAUAUUUAGAAGCUGGUGAUUUUUUCGUUUGAAAAAUUCUAAAAUAUUUUAGAUCCAAGCUGGCAGUAUGGAUGAUUCAAAAUAGUUAUUUCAAUUGCACUUUGUGUAUAUAAUUUUGUACAGAAUAUCAUAAAUUACCAUUUUAGUACAAAUAAACUAUUUUUGUGGUUGUUA
Molecule: RNA transcript, 2161 nt
Organism: Nematostella vectensis (starlet sea anemone)
Lineage: Eukaryota; Metazoa; Cnidaria; Anthozoa; Actiniaria; Edwardsiidae
Gene name: ephrin-B1
Exons: 7
Source: RefSeq, a predicted model, not a curated record